UACGGAGGGUGCAAGCGUUAUCCGGAUUUACUGGGUUUAAAGGGUGCGCAGGCGGACUGUUAAGUCAGUGGUGAAAGCCCCGGGCUCAACCUGGGAAUUGCCAUUGAUACUGGCGGUCUUGAGUACAGUAGAGGUAGGCGGAAUGCAACAUGUAGCGGUGAAAUGCUUAGAUAUGUUGCAGAACACCGAUUGCGAAGGCAGCUUGCUAUGCUGUUACUGACGCUCAGGCACGAAAGCGUGGGGAUCAAACAGG
Molecule: non-coding RNA, 253 nt
Filed under: uncultured bacterium
Lineage: Bacteria
Also listed under: 2 other names
Description: partial 16S ribosomal RNA
Rfam family: Bacterial small subunit ribosomal RNA
Source: RNAcentral